RNAcentral lists this ribosomal RNA (253 nucleotides) under uncultured bacterium. RNAcentral's name for it is "partial 16S ribosomal RNA". It matches the Rfam family "Bacterial small subunit ribosomal RNA", at positions 524 to 776 of the family's 1533-position model. The record is from RNAcentral.
UACAGAGGGGGCGAGCGUUAAUCGGAAUUACUGGGCGUAAAGCGUGCGUAGACGGUUAUUUAAGUCGGGUGUGAAAGCCCCGGGCUCAACCUGGGAAUUGCAUUCGAGACUGAAUAGCUAGGGUACGGUAGAGGGAAGCGGAAUUUCCGGUGUAGCGGUGAAAUGCGUAGAUAUCUGGAGGAACAUCAGUGGCGAAGGCGACUUCCUGGCCCAAUACUGACGCUCAGGUGCGAAAGCGUGGGGAGCAAACAGG